AUUUAGUAGACAGAAGCCUCGGCGGAAGAUUACUAAUGAGAGUGGCGAACGGGUGAGUAACGCGUGAGCAACCUGCCUAUGACAGCGGGAUAGCCUCGGGAAACCGGGAUUAAUACCGCAUAAAAUCGUAGAAACACAUGUUUCAACGGUCAAAGAUUUAUCGGUCAUAGAUGGGCUCGCGUCUGAUUAGCUAGUUGGUGAGAUAACAGCCCACCAAGGCGACGAUCAGUAGCCGGUCUGAGAGGAUGAACGGCCACAUUGGAACUGAGACACGGUCCAAACUCCUACGGGAGGCAGCAGUGGGGAAUAUUGCACAAUGGGGGAAACCCUGAUGCAGCGACGCCGCGUGAACGAAGAAGGUAUUCGUAUCGUAAAGUUCUGUCCUAUGGGAAGAUAAUGACAGUACCAUAGAAGAAAGCUCCGGCUAAAUACGUGCCAGCAGCCGCGGUAAUACGUAUGGAGCGAGCGUUGUCCGGAAUUAUUGGGCGUAAAGGGUACGCAGGCGGUUUAAUAAGUCGAAUGUUAAAGAUCGGGGCUCAACCCCGUAAAGCAUUGGAAACUGAUAAACUUGAGUAGUGGAGAGGAAAGUGGAAUUCCUAGUGUAGUGGUGAAAUACGUAGAUAUUAGGAGGAAUACCAGUAGCGAAGGCGACUUUCUGGACACAAACUGACGCUGAGGUACGAAAGCGUGGGGAGCAAACAGGAUUAG
This 708-nucleotide ribosomal RNA is filed under the name uncultured Eubacteriales bacterium. RNAcentral's name for it is "bacterial SSU rRNA". It matches the Rfam family "Bacterial small subunit ribosomal RNA", at positions 65 to 781 of the family's 1533-position model. The record is from RNAcentral. Lineage: Bacteria; Bacillati; Bacillota; Clostridia; Eubacteriales.